GCCGAGGUGGUGAAAUUGGUAGACACGCCAGAUUUAGGAUCUGGUGCUCUUUGGGCGUGAAGGUUCGAUUCCUUUCCUCGGUA
This 83-nucleotide transfer RNA is filed under the name Fidelibacterota bacterium. RNAcentral describes it as "tRNA-Leu". It matches the Rfam family "tRNA". Rfam says of the family: Transfer RNA (tRNA) molecules are approximately 80 nucleotides in length. Their secondary structure includes four short double-helical elements and three loops (D, anti-codon, and T loops). Lineage: Bacteria; Pseudomonadati; Fidelibacterota. The record is from RNAcentral.